This 19-nucleotide transfer RNA is filed under the name Mazama temama (Central American red brocket). RNAcentral's name for it is "partial tRNA-Thr". The record is from RNAcentral. Lineage: Eukaryota; Metazoa; Chordata; Mammalia; Artiodactyla; Cervidae.
AAUCAAUCUCCCUAAGACU